AUAUGUGAGAGUUGUCAGUUUGUUGUCUCCUCCUCUGUUUCCCUGGAUACCUUCUGUUAACCCCGCCCCAAGUUCCUAUCCAUCACCCACUGACCCUCCCCUUUUUCCAGAAAGUUCUCCCCUCAACAGUGGGUGAUUGGACCAGGAGCAAGAGUCCCUCCCUACUACCUUACCUAUUCGCUGGCCAGUGUGUCUAUUAUGAUUUUGCUCCCUUCUAAGUUCCUCCUCAUUGGUUACUGUAUUGUCCCCACCCUUUAGUUCCACCCCCUUUAUAUACUAUUGUAUCCCCCUUGCUCCUGGUCUUCUCUUGCCUGGCUCCCCCGUGCAGAAUAAGCCUUCAGACUUUGCCUGCGAGAGGAGUCCUUCUUUUCUUCAUCUGCUUCGCCUGUUUGCUGCUUACUGCUGUCUCCUGCUGAGGUGCUCUCCGGAUGCCCCUGGUGCAUCUGGGAAGUGCCCCCCCCCCCGUUGUCAGCUGCUGUGCCCCAGCUCAGCCGGUGCAGUCUCCUCCCCUAGCUGGGGGAUUAGAGGAUUUAGGCAGCAGCGUGGCAUUUUAAUGGACAGUUCUUCUAGUUGUCUUUGUAUAUAUUUGUUGUAUUGUUUUCUUAUGGUAGCAAUAACAAUAACUAUAACAGUCGGGAUAGAUUUAAAUAGUUCUUUUUCCCUUACUGAGCACUGUGCUCCAUGAAUGGCUUCCUAAAUAUAAUUUAGCACCCUUUACUCUGUCUGGGAUACUCUGUUAAUUGCUUAUGAGGGCAAGAAGACUGAGAUGUCUUUUAUAUUACUGGUCCUUGAGUUACAAAUUUUCUUUUCCCUUAGAUGACAUCCAUCAGACAAGGUCUCGCCAGAAAAUUAGUUAAGCUGGGCAGGUACUCUUCCUUGUCAAGAAAGAGAAUAAUGCCCUGCAGAAGUCAUGCAUCUACCUAUACUUCCACCUCUUGGGCCCAAGUUUGUCUAUGAUUGCAGAGAAAUUUUAAACAAACCAUGUAAAUAAAUAAAACUUCUGGGUGAUUAUGGGAAGAUGAAUCCAGCAUUAUUUUUCAAUUCAUCUGUAGAAAAUUGAAGGAUGUUCUCACUUUUUUUUCUCUAAAUGACAUUACAAGAGGUGAUAAUAUAAAUAAUGAGAAAAUAAUUUUAAUGGAACUAAGAGCUGCAGAAUUAUAUCAUGGCUUGUAGAAUUACUGUAUCAGAAAAUUUAGUUGGUUAAGAUGUCACCUACAAAAAUGAAUUAUUACAAAUUCACUUUACAGUGAUCACAUUCCAAGGCACCACUGCUAAGAUCUUGUUCUUUGGUUGUGUACAAGGAGAAUUUUAAAAUUCAUGGAGUUGCCAUGUAGAUUUGUGCUCUGAUUUUAACAGCUGCAGAAGUGAUUUUGCUUCUUCCUCUAUCAUACGAGGGGUCACCUCUGAUGACCUUUUCACUGCAUCCUCCCAUUUGGUAAAGAGAUUGGUUUGUAAGGACUUUAUUCAAGAUCAAGCUCGCUCCUUCCCUUCCUUCAAAUUAUUCUGUUUUAUUGUGGACAAAGAACUAUCACCACAGGUGGCAGUGAAAACAAAAACAUGCUUCCUUUAUCAAAGUUCAAGAAAACCAACUGAACAUUUCCCCUUUUUGUUAUUAAAAUAGAUGCUUAACCAAUUUUAAGGUCAGGAAAUCUCCAGUGUUCUGGAAUUUAUCUUCUGAUUUCUCUAGGCUUGUAGAACAUAAAGUGUCUUGUCAAGUCCAUGCAUGCAUAAAACAUUAUUUUUUGGAAAAAGAAAAACUUAUAAAUAAUAUAACAUACAGCUACAAAUACAUGUUUAUAUUAGUGUAUUGAGAGCGAUCAAUGCUAACAGAAAAUCCACCUGAAUGGAAUAUUAAGUUUUUGGUAGCAGGGGGACCGCAGAGGUGGCUUCCAAUCUUUCACCACAUCUGGCAGAGCCAAUCUCUGAUGGCUCCAUCAAUGGAUGUGCUGCUGGACCAAUUGGCUGGACCAAUUUGAAAUGGUGGUAAUGCCUCCGUGAUAACAUAUUUAAGAUAAAAUCAAAACAAAACAGUGUGUUGCAGUGUUAUUUCCAGUCAGAGAAGAGAGAGAACAUGUGAGAUGAAUAACUCUGCAGACACAAAGGUCAGGGGAGAAGCAGGGGGAGGAGCUGCUCCAGGCACUGGAGCUGAGAUUCCUCUGCAGGCCAUGGUGAGACCAUGGUGAAGCAGCUGUGCCCCUGCAGCCCUUGGGGAUCCAGGAGGUUGCAGAAGUCCACCCUCAGCGCAUGGGGAUCCACAGGGGAUGCAGAGAUCCACCCUCAGCCUGUGGGGGAGUUUCCCAUGCCAGAGCCGGAUGCCUGGGGGAGGCUGUUAUCCAAUGGUGAUCCCCUGGUGGAGAGAGGGGUCCCUGCUCCCAGGCUGGAGCAGCCUGUCCUUGGAGGACUGCACUCCAUGGAGGAGUGACCCAUGUUGCAGCAGUUUUGGGAGGACUGUGUGCCCAUGAGAGGCACUCACAUGUCAGCAAUUUAGAGAGGACUGUUGCUCAUGAGAUGGACUCAAGUUACAAGUUCAUGGAGAAUUGUUUCCUGUGGGACUCUACACUAUAGCAUAGGAACAACGCCUCUCCCUGAGCAGCAGGAGAAGCCUGUGUGUUGAACUGAUCAUCACUCCCAUUUCCUGUCCCCUUGCACUGCUGGGAAGGAGAGAGAUGUGGGGGGAAUGUGCUUUUAAAGGGCUUAUUUUACUUCUCAUUGUCAUGCUCUGACUUUGUUAGUAAAAAACAUCACUUUAUAUCUCUAAGUUAAGCCUGUUUUGCCUGUAAUGGUGAUGAGUGAUCUUUCUCCUGGUCCUUAACUCAGAAAUCCUCUGUUAAUUUUUUUUUCUUCUUCUCCGGUUACAGAGGGGAGUGAAUGAGCAGAUUUCAUGGCUGCCUGGCAUCCUGCAAGCCAUGAUAGUUUUGAGCAGAUUUUUACAAUAGUUGUCUGAAGAGAAAAUGAAGAAUUAAUUAAUGCUGAAAGGUUUAAAGUGUUUUCUUCCUUUUUCUUUCUUCUUUUAUUUUUUAAAUGUUACUUUGGCUGAUUAAUUUCCCUCAGGAAUGCAUUUUCUAAUCUGGGUAAAAGCUUUUCAACUUUUAAAAUAAUUUUGCCAUGACUUUAGAUCACGUAACUGUUGAAGGUGUACCUACAAAACAGAAGAUAUAAUUGAAACUCAGCAAAGUAUUUUGUUCAGGAUCCUUCACAAUUUCUUGGCUAUGGUUCAUUCCCAUUUUGAUUUCUUUAACAGUAAACUUCCUUUGUUUAAAUAAAAAUGGUCUCAAAAGUGGUAAUAACCAGUUUUAAAUCCAACAAAGAUGAGGAUUGUGAGGGUAUGUAGCAAAAUUGUGUCUUUAUUUUCUGACAAUAAAAGUGAAAUUUUGAUCCAAUAUAUCCUGACAACUAGAAAA
This is a long non-coding RNA of Passer domesticus (house sparrow), 3401 nucleotides long. RefSeq lists it as uncharacterized. Lineage: Eukaryota; Metazoa; Chordata; Aves; Passeriformes; Passeridae. The record is from RefSeq and is a predicted model, not a curated record. The transcript has 2 exons.